AUUUAGUCUGCUAUCUCGAAGCGGGCGACGCUUGACUGAUGCUGGGAGGCGGCUCUCUAGAACCGCUAACCAGCAGCGGCCGUGCUUGCACGCGCGGCCGUUCACAGAUCACGUUCGAGCGGUCCCUAGAGGAUUAAGAUAUGACCGGUCUCGCCCCAGAAAGGGCGGGAGUAAACGUUCCGUAGGUGCAGAGUUCGCCUACCGCAUGCCUAAUGCGCGGUCUGCACCCUUGGGUGCAGGCAACACCGUUCAAAUGCUGGGCGUGCCGGGCGCAAGCCCGUCACCAUCAGCAGCCGGCGCUCCGGCGUUCGGCCCACAGAUCAUCCGACGGUGACCUAUCGAGGUUAAGAUAUGAUCGGUCCCGGCCCGCCCUGGGCCGCGGAGGCACGGAACCUGCGGAAGGAUCAUUACCGAGAGACGGGACCUAACCGGUCCCAACUCUUCACCCCUGUCUACAUUAAAUAUGUUGCUUUGGCGGGCCAACCGGGCCCUGCUUGGGGAAGGCUGACCCCUUCUCGUGCCCGCCGAAGGCCCCAAUAAACCUCGUGAUUAGUGUCGUCCGAGUAAAAACAAUCGUUAAAACUUUCAACAACGGAUCUCUUGGUUCCGGCGUCGAUGAAGAACGCAGCGAAAUGCGAAAAGUAAUGUGAAUUGCAGAAUUCCGUGAAUCAUCGAAUCUUUGAACGCACAUU
Molecule: unclassified non-coding RNA, 692 nt
Filed under: Physconia venusta
Lineage: Eukaryota; Fungi; Ascomycota; Lecanoromycetes; Caliciales; Physciaceae
Description: sequence contains 18S rRNA gene, ITS1, 5.8S rRNA gene, ITS2, 28S rRNA gene
Rfam family: 5.8S ribosomal RNA (bases 581-692)
Source: RNAcentral